Molecule: transfer RNA, 69 nt
Filed under: Paralithodes platypus (blue king crab)
Lineage: Eukaryota; Metazoa; Arthropoda; Malacostraca; Decapoda; Lithodidae
Description: tRNA-Leu
Source: RNAcentral
AUUAAGGUGGCAGAAAGUGUCCAAGAUUUAAGCUCUUGUAAUGAAAUAUUAUAUUAAUUUCUCUUAAUA